This 2015-nucleotide long non-coding RNA is filed under the name Bos indicus x Bos taurus (hybrid cattle). RNAcentral describes it as "lncRNA (ENSBIXG00005005935.1)". Lineage: Eukaryota; Metazoa; Chordata; Mammalia; Artiodactyla; Bovidae. The record is from RNAcentral.
AUAAUGGUUAUUCAUGACCAAGAAGGAAAGACCUGAGACAUGGAAUGAGCGAUUGCAGCCCUUCAGUAUGACACAGAUUCACAUCAAGAUAAAGAUGAUGUGCAAAGAAAACCCAUGCCCCCAAAGAGAUUACAGCCACUCCUCCAGACAGAUCCAGCAGGAAUAACCACAAAAGUCACCUUGGGGCCACUUAAUAGAACAGGUGGCUGCCGCCUGGUGACAAUGGCCGUAUGAGCCCCACCAUGGCCCACUGGAAGCGUCAGAGCACAGUGAGCAGCCUGCUGGACCACAGGGUGAGACCGGGCCUGGAGCCCAAGAGCAAGGACGUGGAGGAACUAGCCCUGGAAGAGUACAUGCCCACUGGACUGGAGCUAGUGGCCCUGUGGCCUGAGAGGCCGUUGCCUGCCCAGAAGGGCGGCCCUGAUGGGUACUUUGGCUCCAACUAGAGUAAACAACACCUCGGAGGAGGAGGACUAUGACGAGGGCUGCCUGAAGAGGAGGGCAUCACCUAUUACAUCCGCUACUGCCCCAAGGACAACAGCUACCUGCAGGGGAUGGACUGCAACAGGCAGGGCUACUUGGCCCACCUAGAGAUGCCAUCUGGAGAUGGAUGAGUGCCAGGAGGUGGUGGAGGAGUGGACAGAGCCAGGGCCAGCGACUCCCCAGAGGUCUGCCCACUUGCCAAGUCUGGCCGUGGCCCCAGCAGACACAAGGGCAGGCCCAAGUUGCUGAACCUCCCUCGAGGCCAAGCACCCUGCCGAUGCCCAGAGGAGCUUCAAGACCAGGACCCAGGAAGAGAGGCCUAAGUGGCCCCAAGAGGAGGACACUGGGCUGCACUCUGAGAAGUUCCUGGAUCUCCCCUGGACCUGACCAUCAUGUGGCCAGAGAAAUUGUCGACCGUCCCUCCUCAGCAGAGACCAGACCUGCCCCUCGUCUCCCAGCCCUGCGCCUGGUGUGUGUUUUGUCAACACUUCAGUGGAACAAGAAAGGACCAAGCCUGCAAGAACCAAGUUGACCAUCCCUCCUGAGCAGAGAGCAGACCUCCCCGUCCCUCCCAGCCCUGCGUCUGGUGUGUUUUCUCAACGCCUCAGUGGAACAAGAAAGGACUGAUCCUGCCAGAACCAAGGUAGUGUGUUCAACAUUAUCAUGACAGCUGUAAAAACAGUUAAUAUCACACAGAACCAAAGGGAAGAGAGGAGGACUUCUCUGGGACAAGCAUCGGGAGAGGAGACCAACCCCACACUUCUUUCUAUCAUCCUAGGAGAUUGCCAGAGAAGGCAGUGGCACCCCACUCUAGUACCCUUGCCUGGAAAAUCCCAUGGAUGGAGGAGUCUGGUGGGUGACAGUCCAUGGGGUCACUAAGAGUUGGACGCGACUGAGCGACUUAACUUUCACUUUUCACUUUAAUGCAUUGAAGAAGGAAAUGGCAACCCACUCCAGUGUUCUUGCCUGGAGAAUCCCAGGGACGGGGGAGCCUGGUGGGCUGCCGUCUAUGGGGUCGCACAGAGUCAGACACGACUGAAGUGACUUAGCAGUAGCAGUAGGAAAUCAUAGGAACCCACUCGUUUCCACCUUAGGGGCCCAGCAGAGACUUGGUGUCCUAACCGAGGGUCGUGUGACCCCAGGUGCAGGGUCUGGGGAGGUGGUAUCACCUUGGAGAGUGUGGAAGUGUGUCCCCAGGUGCAGGGUCUGGUGAUUGUGUCGGUCUCACCCCUUCCACGUGGGUCAGGAUCCUGUGUACACGGAGACCACAUGUCUGCUCUUCACCUGCUGUGUGUCCUGUCUCCUCAGAGAUUCCCAGCAUCUGAAUUGAGGGUGUUUCCCUGAUUAACCUGUGGUCCUUUUCCUUCUCUUCACCUUGUCGCAUUCACAUGAGGUCAGGCACCUUUGAGUGGGUUGCUGCUCUGUGUCUUGCUGAGUAAAAACCUUUGGAGGUGUCAUAUUAAUAUCAUAGCAUAUCACAUGCUAAUUAAUGGGGUCAUGAUUGUCUGGUUUCCCCUAGACCAAGCUCAGCU